Molecule: ribosomal RNA, 253 nt
Filed under: uncultured bacterium
Lineage: Bacteria
Description: partial 16S ribosomal RNA
Rfam family: Bacterial small subunit ribosomal RNA
Source: RNAcentral
GACAGAGGGUGCAAACGUUGUUCGGAAUUACUGGGCAUAAAGCGCACGUAGGGGGUCCGCUAAGUCGCGUGUGAAAUCCCCCGGCUCAACCGGGGAAAUGCGCGUGAUACUGGCGGGCUUGAGAUCGGGAGGGGUGAAUGGAACUCCAGGUGGAGCGGUGAAAUGCGUAGAUAUCUGGAGGAACACCGGUGGCGAAAGCGGUUCACUGGCCCGACACUGACACUGAGGUGCGAAAGCUAGGGUAGCAAACGGG